Molecule: transfer RNA, 71 nt
Filed under: Trichechus manatus latirostris (Florida manatee)
Lineage: Eukaryota; Metazoa; Chordata; Mammalia; Sirenia; Trichechidae
Description: tRNA-Glu (TTC) (tRNA-Glu-TTC-33-1)
Rfam family: tRNA
About the family: Transfer RNA (tRNA) molecules are approximately 80 nucleotides in length. Their secondary structure includes four short double-helical elements and three loops (D, anti-codon, and T loops).
Source: Rfam by way of RNAcentral
GCAUUGGUGAUUCAAUGGUAGAAUUCUUGCCUUUCAUGCAGGAGACCUGGGUUUGGUUCCCGGCCAAUGCA